GUGGGGAAUAUUGGACAAUGGGGGGAACCCUGAUCCAGCCAUGCCGCGUGUGUGAAGAAGGCCUUUUGGUUGUAAAGCACUUUAAGCGAGGAGGAGGCUACCGAGAUUAAUACUCUUGGAUAGUGGACGUUACUCGCAGAAUAAGCACCGGCUAACUCUGUGCCAGCAGCCGCGGUAAUACAGAGGGUGCAAGCGUUAAUCGGAUUUACUGGGCGUAAAGCGCGCGUAGGUGGCCAAUUAAGUCAAAUGUGAAAUCCCCGAGCUUAACUUGGGAAUUGCAUUCGAUACUGGUGGGCUAGAGUAUGGGAGAGGAUGGUAGAAUUCCAGGUGUAGCGGUGAAAUGCGUAGAGAUCUGGAGGAAUACCGAUGGCGAAGGCAGCCAUCUGGCCUAAUACUGACACUGAGGUGCGAAAGCAUGGGGAGCAAACAGGAUUAGAAACCCCAGUAGUCC
RNAcentral lists this ribosomal RNA (451 nucleotides) under uncultured bacterium. Its description in RNAcentral is "partial 16S ribosomal RNA". It matches the Rfam family "Bacterial small subunit ribosomal RNA", at positions 354 to 796 of the family's 1533-position model. The record is from RNAcentral.